GAUCUCGCAUGCGCCGUAGUAGCCUACUCGCCGCUUUAAACCAAGGCUGGACAGAUGUUAAGCAGCCUGGUUGAGGGGUGAAACUCCGGGAAAACAUUUUAAAGAGGGAGCUGAAGAGUCAACGCUGACCAUAUUAAUGUAGGGACAAAAUAAAUAACGGGCAUCAUGUUGAGAAAAUAGUUCCAGAUAUGUCAGCAGCAGGAGCGACGCGGAAAUGUCCACAACCGAGCAACAGCCAAAUCGAGUCUGUGGUAGAGGAUGACAGCAGAGGGGUCCACCGGAGCGGUCAACGCCGUCUGCACCCAAGACUCCUCCCACUCACCUAAAACAGCCUGCCUACAAACCACAUGGCCCUGCCCACAGAAGGAUGAGCUCGAAGUCAGACUCCGCCUCCGCUCCCCUCCUGGGGCGUGGCUACUAGCGGGCGUUGUCGUGGUGAUGGUGGGAAUGUUUGUGGCCGUGGCCGGGUACGCUAGCUCCACCCCUAACCCUGUGGGUGGGCGAGGCAGCUCCCACAGCGAGCGAAUGAAACUGCUCGGCCCUGUCGUGAUGGGCAUCGGCCUGUUCAUCUUCAUCUGUGCUGGAACCUUGCUGUAUGAGAACCGGGACCGUGAGAACCGAGAGCGUGAGAACCCUGAGGAGCAGGGGAAACACAAACAGAAGAAAACAAGGGAAUGGCGCCGGGAGAACCGUGAUUAUGAGGAUGUGGAACAGGGGAACCAGAGAGAGCCCUCAGACAGACACUCCCCUCUCCCUGAGGAGUGCCCGCCCCCCCUGCCUCCCAGAGUGCCUAGACAGGAGGGGUCAGAGUUGAACGUUCUCUCUGUGGGGGCGCUGAGCUCACUGCUACCAGGGGAGGGACAGGGGCGUGAAGAGAGAGUCAGAGAGGUGGGGGGUAAAGGGGGGUCAACCCUGCUGACCAGAGUCCUGCACCACCAGGACCCCCCCUCCUCCUGUCCCUCCCCAGCCCCCUCCUCUGUGUACUCUGACUCCUGUAACUCCAGUGAGAUCAACUAUAACGUUCAGACAGGCUCCCCUAUCCACUCUAUUCUCCAACUCUGAGAUACUACUGUACUCACAUCUGUACACACUUUUCUAAAUAAAUGCACCACAUAUUUCUCAUAUCUCUCUCUGUGGUUUCUAUAGGCUGUAGAUGCAGUGGAGUGUGUUGGGCAUCUCUCUCUACCCCUCUAGGACGGGCAGGGCCAGGGGGAGACAGGGGUAGGUGACGUCAGCUUGUUGUUGUGUAGUAAAGUCUCUCUCAGGGGUGUUUGACUGUAUUUGGGCUUAGGGGAGGAUUCCACUGCAGACAGUGACUGUGGUGCCAUCCUGAAUGAUGCACGUACACACACUAAAUACGGCCAGACAUUCCACUAUGGAACAGGCUGCUUUGGAGAACUUUGAUUCAUGAUGUCGUUUUAACUGUAACUCAAAGUUUGAUCUAAUAUUAGUGACUCUGUUUGUCAUGGCUGUUCUCCUAUAGGGGUUCUGUUUACACACCCAAACCUGGCUCAAGAGAUGGACGGAAAUCAUAGCAAUGAAAACAAAGUUAAUGGCUUCUCAUAGUUGGCUGUUGGCUGUCUACAUGCUUACUCUUUACUUGAGUUAGAUGUUACUGGCCAAUAACUGGUAGAAUCCACGUUGUUCCACUUCAUUUCAACAAAACAUUUGCAAAAAGUCAUCAACGUAAGGCAAUUGCGUCAUUUUCCCACCCAAAUUUUAACCUAAAUCCAAUAUCAUUGUGAAUUUGUUUUGUUGACUUCACGUUGAAUUCACGUUAGCUGACAACUCAACCAAGUGUGCCCAGUCUGUUUGCAGUGCAUAUAUGAAGUAUAUCUUUGCGGCGUGUAUGCAGCAAACCUUUGGUCUUUAAGGUACACAAAACCAUUAGGAUGUUAGACUGGGUUUAAUUGAAUAGAGCCCACAGAUGCAGAUGCAGUAAAAAAGGGGGGGGGAUUUUAAUUGUCCUGAGUGUUCUCCUCCAGCCUCCAAUUACACUGUGGAACCGACCAAGGGUUUUUUAUUGGUAUUUCAGGACUGCAGAGUAUUUCCUCUGUUGUUCAGACACAUGCUGGGAUAAUGCCAUUGAGAUUAGUGAGGAACGCCAAGACUGGCCGUGCAGGGCAAGGCAGACACAUCUACACGACACAGGCACAACACACACACACACAACCGCAUGCAUGCUUUCACACAUGCUAAACCACUCACACCUCGUACUGCUUUUGAACCCAUUAAUCCCGGUUCACCACCAGUGACACUACCAGGGAUAGACCAGUACUUGGUUUCUCGCUUCUGACUAUGCUAAUACUGGGAAGUGUGUGUUUUUUGUGAGUUUAAUGCAGCAGCUGAAUUAUGUGGUCAGUCAGUGUUUGAUUGCUGGACUGUAAUCCUGAACAUCAGAUUAAAUGCACAUGUAAUCCCUGCCUGACCCUAACACUUACUCCACCUAUGGCCUCCCAUAACACGCACACACCCUCUCUGUCCCACACGGAGAUAACCUGUGCAUUGUAUUUCUGCUCUUGCUGUUGCCUAGGUUUGUUUAACUGUCUCAGUCUGUCUCUGUAUUACGCAAUCCCACAAACAGGACAGUUGUUUUAGUCUCCCUCUAAUGUCAGUCAUACAUUUUAUUAGAGUUUAUGCAGGAUCAGUACUGUGGGACUGGGAGCACUGUCUCUAAGCUGCUUAACUCCUCGCUGAGUCAGACAUGUGUGUUUUACCGAGGAGGGAGACCCUACUGGGGUUACAGGACCAGAGACAGAGGGCUGAAUCCUAACAUGCAAAUCACAACUUUGUGCAAAUAUCCCAUUGAUCAGUAGAUAGUCAGGAUCUCAAGUUAGUGUUUCGACUUGGCACCGCAAUAACACCUGGGACACCUGUGACCCACAGCAACAACAUCUGGGACACCUGGGACCCACAGCAACAACACCUGGGACCCACAACAACAACACCUGGGACUCAUAGCAACAACACCUGGGACUCAUAGCAACAACACCUGGGACUCAUAGCAACAACACCUGGGACACCUUGGACUCAUAGCAACAACACCUGUGACAAAAAGCAACAACAUCUGUGACCCACAGCAACAACACCUGGGAACCACAGCAACAACACCUUCACAUAAAAUGAGGAUGAUCAGGAGGAGCAACGGGAGGAGGGGCCUCUGCAGUGUUUCCGCUGUGACCUGGGCUUCUGGGAUGCCUGCUACACCACCAAAACCAACUGCAAUAACGGGGAGAAGUGCUACACUGGCCGAGGGAAGGCAGGUGAUGUGCUGGAUGUUAAGUUGCUGGGCUGUGUCAAGGCGAAGGAGUGUGAGCUGGUGACCAAUGUGGAGAUCUUCUCCAACACAACCAUCUACAUGAUGACCAGGCACUGCUGCGACACACACUUCUGCAACACCGGACACACACUACCCCUCAACACACUUCUCUCCCUGUCCCUGACUACAAUAACCAUCAUCCACCUCUCCUCUCCCUGACAGUGACUACAAUAACCAUGAUCCUCACCUUCAACAGACUACAAUAACCACCAUGCAUCAUAAAGUCCCCAGCAGCACACAUUUAUUCAAUUUUCUGUAAAUAUUCCGUGUUUAUUUGUCAAGGAAUAUGGACGGUAAUUAGCAUAUGUGGAUGUGCCAGAUUGAGGCAAAAGUGUCAUGUUCAAACCUUAGAAGCUGUCUCUGGGCUCAGUGAAAAUUGGUUAGAUGGUUUUAUGGAAUUCAAUUUUUAAUAAAUGUAAUUUUCUCAUUCUGUUGUUGGCAUAAACUACAAAAGGAGACUGGAUUUUAUUUUAUCAUAUUUAUUGAACAUUCUGAAUUGUAACUGAAUAACGUAAUACAAAUUUACAUUGUCCUCAAUCUUGGUUGGCAUAUUUUAAACACGUCAAAAUUACUUUUAUGUUCUCCUCCAAACCUAAAUAUUUCCAUAGAGAAUACUACAGUAUCUCCCAUUGACUUUAGUGUUAUUGUAAAUCCUAAAGUAGUAUGCAUCAAUCUCUCAGACCCAUAUUCACAGAUCUAGGAUCAUCUUAACCUCUCUAAAACCAUCAGCAUCUUGGGGCAACUUCCUCCUACAGUCAGUGAAGCUGAGGUCAUACUGGUAUACAGUAGCGUUGCUGCUAGGCAGACAACAGUAGCGUUGCUGCUAGGCAGACAACAGUAGCGUUGCUGCUAGGCAGACAACAGUAGCGUUGCUGCUAGGCAGACAACAGUAGCGUUGCUGCUAGGCAGACAACAGUAGCGUUGCUGUUAGACAGACAACAGUAGCGUUGCUGUUAGAGCAGGUCUCCUCCAGAGGGAAGCAGCUCCUCCUUCAUAUAGCGCUGCAGAUCCACACUCUGGUCCUCAAGGUCCACACACAGAAACUUCUUCACUACACAAACACACCUGACAGGGACACACACACAAAGAAAACACCUGUGGGUGAUUGUGCGUAUGUAUUGCAGGCAGAAUAACUUAUUUAAAUGUUCAUCUGAGCCAUCUUUGUUGCAGGUGAAUGGUAACAGCUGAAUAAGAUGAGAAAAAGAAGAAACCCGCACACUGAUCUUGAUAGUAUCACUGCUCUUU
Oncorhynchus tshawytscha (Chinook salmon) is the source of this 4564-nucleotide RNA transcript. It is a transcript of the gene named sperm acrosome membrane-associated protein 4, with no coding region annotated. The transcript has 4 exons. The record is from RefSeq and is a predicted model, not a curated record. NCBI's taxonomy places the organism in Eukaryota, Metazoa, Chordata, Actinopteri, Salmoniformes, Salmonidae.